Molecule: non-coding RNA, 45 nt
Filed under: Trichobilharzia regenti
Lineage: Eukaryota; Metazoa; Platyhelminthes; Trematoda; Strigeidida; Schistosomatidae
Source: RNAcentral
ACUCGGAUGACGAGUCCUAAAUAGGACGAAAUGCACAUACUGAAU